This 487-nucleotide ribosomal RNA is filed under the name uncultured bacterium. Its description in RNAcentral is "bacterial SSU rRNA". It matches the Rfam family "Bacterial small subunit ribosomal RNA", at positions 28 to 533 of the family's 1533-position model. The record is from RNAcentral.
GAUGAACGUUGGCGGUGUGCCUAAUACAUGCAAGUCGAACGGAGUCAGUAGCAAUAUUGGCUCAGUGGCGAACGGGUGAGUAACGCGUUGGUGAUCUGCCUUGAAGUGUGGAAUAACGUUUCGAAAGAGACGCUAAUACCGCAUGUGCUCUCGAUUUUUAGAAAGUUGAGAGUAAAGGAUUUAUUCGCUUCAAGAGGAGCCUGCGUCCCAUCAGCUGGUUGGUAGGGUAACGGCCUACCAAGGCUAUGACGGGUAGGGGACCUGAGAGGGUGGCCCCCCACAAUGGAACUGAAACACGGUCCAUACACCUACGGGUGGCAGCAGUAGGGAAUAUUAGAAAUGGACGAAAGUCUGAUCUAGCAACACCGCGUGUGCGAAGAAGGCCUUCGGGUCGUAAAGCACUUUUUGGAAGGAAUAGGAAGGAAUGUACUUCCAGAAUAAGUCUCGGCUAAACUACGUGCCAACAGCCGCGGUAAAACGUAGCGUG